This 28-nucleotide non-coding RNA is filed under the name Mus musculus (house mouse). The record is from RNAcentral. Lineage: Eukaryota; Metazoa; Chordata; Mammalia; Rodentia; Muridae.
UUAGAAAGAAUGGUCAUCGCUUCCAUGC